CCAAUCUAAAAAAUCUAUAAUUUUAUCAACUUUAAAGCUCACAUUUUAAAUUUUUCAUUCAAAUGGAAGGUAAAAUUAAAUGACCAACAAUGAUCGAGUCUUAUAAAGUUGCAAAGGAGAUAAUAUUUGAUCAACAAAUGGGAAACAAUCAUGGAUUCUUUUGUUGUUCAGUAGGCUUGAUUGGAUCGAACUCGAGAAGUUCCAGGGGAAACAAUGAUCCAACACUAUGGGUGACAAAACGAUGUAACCAAGGAAAAUGAAAUAGUAGAAACCAACCAUUUCCAUGUCCACGUCCAUUUCCAAUAAAAUAGGUGAAGACCAACUUAGCCUUGAAACUGGCCAAUGCAAUUGAGACCCUUGAGCUUGGAGACACGAGAUUCGUUUCGUUUCAUAUCCACCUUGUAACUUGGAAGACAACUCUUCAAGGCCCUGUUCUCUUCCAUUAACCUGUUGAUUUGGGCGCGAAGUUGUUUCAUCACUUCUCUCUUCUCUUCAUUUCUCCUUAUUAGCUCAUUCUGUUGCUUCAAAUUGUCCUCAAUCAGUUUUGAAACCUUUUGCCUCGUUUGAUUCCAUAUAUUCUCCUUCUCUUCGCUAUCAUCACCAGCUAGUACAAUCUUCUUCAGCCCUCCUCCGUUCAUAUUAUCUCCUUGAUUAUCUUCUUCCGUCUUGCAUUGUUUACAUGAAACUGGUUUAUUCAAGGAAUGCUGCUCGAAGCUGGAGAUUUGAGUUUUAGUUUCAGAAUCUUCUUGUUGAACCGACUGGGGUUGGGAAAUUGGUGAUUCCUCUAGUUUGGUUGUCUCAGUAUUUUCUUUGUUAGUGUUUUGUAGGAGCUUCAGUGAAGAAGAAGAAGAAAGAGGUGACCUCAAAUGGGCAGCAGGAAUGAAUUCUGCAGAUCUUAGCUGGUCAUAUUUUUCAGCCAAGGAAAGAUAGGAAUUCUGCAGGUCCUGCACGAUCUUCAAGAGCUCAGGUCUUCUCUUAUAAAACCUCUCAGCCCUAUCCACAAAAGAAUCUCCAUCAUCUUGUAUAAUAUUGACCAUCAUUUGAAUCUUCUCAUCCAAAUCUGAAAGAGUGGCUUGAAGCCAUGGAGAUUGAAGGGGUCGAUUAUGGCUGCCUGACCACCAUGAAAAAGAAGCAGAGAAGUCAUGUUUCUCGUCCUCCAUGGAAAUCUGAAAUGUUUGUUAGGAAAGGG
This 1189-nucleotide unclassified non-coding RNA is filed under the name Hevea brasiliensis (rubber tree). Lineage: Eukaryota; Viridiplantae; Streptophyta; Magnoliopsida; Malpighiales; Euphorbiaceae. The record is from RNAcentral.